ACGUACGCUGGCGGCACGCCUAACACAUGCAAGUCGAACGAAGUAGCAAUACUUAGUGGCGAACGGGUGAGUAUAAUGUGGGUAUCUGCCUUUUGGUUUGGAAUAACACGGGGAAACUUGUGCUAAUACCGGAUAAGCCUUUACAGGGAAAGUUUUAACGCCAAAAGAUGAGCCUGCACUUGAUUAGUUUGUUGGUAGGGUAAUGGCCUACCAAGACUAUGAUCAAUAGCUGAUUUGAGAGGAUGAUCAGCCACAUUGGGACUGAGACACGGCCCAAACUCCUACGGGAGGCAGCAGUGGGGAAUCUUGC
This 310-nucleotide ribosomal RNA is filed under the name uncultured Pelagibacterales bacterium. RNAcentral describes it as "SSU rRNA". It matches the Rfam family "Bacterial small subunit ribosomal RNA", at positions 29 to 367 of the family's 1533-position model. Lineage: Bacteria; Pseudomonadati; Pseudomonadota; Alphaproteobacteria; Candidatus Pelagibacterales. The record is from RNAcentral.